UCCCUGGAGGACUAGUGGUUAGGCCUCAGCACUCACUGCUGCGGCCCAGGUUCAAUUCCCGCCCAGGAAA
Molecule: transfer RNA, 70 nt
Filed under: Pangasianodon gigas (Mekong giant catfish)
Lineage: Eukaryota; Metazoa; Chordata; Actinopteri; Siluriformes; Pangasiidae
Description: tRNA-Sec
Source: RNAcentral